This is a long non-coding RNA of Neopelma chrysocephalum (saffron-crested tyrant-manakin), 301 nucleotides long. RefSeq lists it as uncharacterized. The record is from RefSeq and is a predicted model, not a curated record. The transcript has 4 exons. NCBI's taxonomy places the organism in Eukaryota, Metazoa, Chordata, Aves, Passeriformes, Pipridae.
AUGAACAAUACUUUAUUUUCUGAGUGGCUUCAGAGGAAUCAUUCAUGAGUUAUUUUCUCAGGCUCUCACUGGAUAUUGUUCUUCCAAAGAUUCAGAUGACUGGUUGGGUAAAAGUCCUUGAGCAAAAUUGUGUACUGUUUGUGCCAGAUGUGUGGAGGAAUUGAUUUGCUCACUGUAAGCAAAAUAGCUGCUCUUGGUUGAAGGACUGGUCUGUGUAGAACAGCAUAUUUCUUGCCAUGUUUCUCCUUCCAGCUCUUCCUCAAAACUCUUCCUGUGCUAUCCACUGAUGCCUUUCUAGCCC